This 450-nucleotide ribosomal RNA is filed under the name uncultured bacterium. Its description in RNAcentral is "partial 16S ribosomal RNA". It matches the Rfam family "Bacterial small subunit ribosomal RNA", at positions 338 to 795 of the family's 1533-position model. The record is from RNAcentral.
CCUACGGGUGGCUGCAGUGGGGAAUAUUGGACAAUGGGGGAAACCCUGAUCCAGCAAUGCCGCGUGUGUGAAGAAGGCCUGCGGGUUGUAAAGCACUUUCGGUUGGGAAGAAAAGUUUGGCGCCAAUACCGCCGAACCUUGACGUUACUGACAGAAGAAGCACCGGCUAACUCUGUGCCAGCAGCCGCGGUAAUACAGAGGGUGCAAGCGUGACGCGAAAUCACUGGAGGUGGUGAGUCAAUAGGGGGUCGACAUCCCCGGGCUUAACCUGGGAACUGCAUUCGAUACUACAUGGCUAGAGUAUGGUAGAGGGAAGUGGAAUUUCCGGUGUAGCGGUGAAAUGCGUAGAUAUCGGAAGGAACACCAAUGGCGAAGGCAGCUUCCUGGACUAAUACUGACACUGAGGCACGAAAGCGUGGGUAGCAAACAGGAUUAGAUACCCUAGUAGUC